Molecule: transfer RNA, 83 nt
Filed under: Presbytis melalophos mitrata
Lineage: Eukaryota; Metazoa; Chordata; Mammalia; Primates; Cercopithecidae
Description: tRNA-Tyr
Rfam family: tRNA (bases 18-83)
About the family: Transfer RNA (tRNA) molecules are approximately 80 nucleotides in length. Their secondary structure includes four short double-helical elements and three loops (D, anti-codon, and T loops).
Source: RNAcentral
AGGUGAUAAAAAGAGAAGGUAAAAUGGCUGAGUAAGCAUUAGGCUGUAAACCUAAGAACAGAGGUUGANGCCCUCUUUUUGCC